This is a long non-coding RNA of Arachis duranensis, 769 nucleotides long. RefSeq lists it as uncharacterized. The record is from RefSeq and is a predicted model, not a curated record. The transcript is spliced from 5 exons. Lineage: Eukaryota; Viridiplantae; Streptophyta; Magnoliopsida; Fabales; Fabaceae.
AGCCGAUUCUACCACCACCGCCGCGUCCAGCCGCUGUCGCUUACUCCGUCACCGCUCCUGGAGGCGGGUGGCCGAGCUUCUACCGCCGUUGAGAUCCACCGCCAUCAGCGCUGCCGUCAAAGGGAGCGCGCUGUCACAGUUCAAUCACAAUCGAGCUUGAAGGAAAGCGCCACUGAAGUUGCCCGACAGCAGUUUCCCCUACGUUCCCAAUCCCAUUCUUGAAACUUACUGCUGUCGCCGUCGUCAAUCUGGAUCUUAGCUCGUUGCUGCUGAUGAUGGUAAGCCAAACUAUCAUCCUUGAUGCUGGAGAAGGACACUGGAGUUACUAUUCUGGUUUUAAUUCAAUUCGUCCCUGUCCCGGAUCACCGUUGUCUUCUGUUCUGCUUCUGCUUCUAGUUGCGCCGGGUUAAACCAUUGUAACUAUAGAGCCAUGUUUGAUGGUGUUGUUGGUGAGAGUUUUCAGUGUAGCUAAUGCCACUGCCGUUGUUUCAUUCUCUUAGUACAGGUCAAGUUCUGCUGUGAAUAGUGCUUUUUGGGCUAUACGGCUGUGGGAAAUAGUCGGAGUAAAUGUCAUUCGAUUUCGGAAUGAGGAAAAAAAGGAAUUCUCCGACACGUUUGGUUUGUGGUUUCGCGAGCUGCUGAACACAGUAAAGAUUUUUAUCAACCAAGUAUUUCUGGAUCUGCAAUUGAAAAGGGUGGUCCUAGGGAGCCAUGGCAUGAUAUACAUUGUAAGCUUGAAGGGCCUAUUGCAUGGGAUGUUUACUCCACC